RNAcentral lists this ribosomal RNA (489 nucleotides) under uncultured bacterium. RNAcentral's name for it is "bacterial SSU rRNA". It matches the Rfam family "Bacterial small subunit ribosomal RNA", at positions 30 to 514 of the family's 1533-position model. The record is from RNAcentral.
AUUGAACGCUGGCGGAAUGCUUUACACAUGCAAGUCGAACGGCAGCACGGACUUCGGUCUGGUGGCGAGUGGCGAACGGGUGAGUAAUAUAUCGGAACGUGCCCAGUCGUGGGGGAUAACGUAGUGAAAAUUACGCUAAUACCGCAUACGAUCUAAGGAUGAAAGCGGGGGAUCGCAAGACCUCGCGCGAUUGGAGCGGCCGAUAUCAGAUUAGGUAGUUGGUGAGGUAAAGGCUCACCAAGCCAACGAUCUGUAGCUGGUCUGAGAGGACGACCAGCCACACUGGAACUGAGACACGGUCCAGACUCCUACGGGAGGCAGCAGUGGGGAAUUUUGGACAAUGGACGCAAGUCUGAUCCAGCCAUUCCGCGUGCAGGACGAAGGCCUUCGGGUUGUAAACUGCUUUGUACAGAACGAAAAGGUCUCUAUUAAUACUAGGGCUCAUGACGGUACUGUAAGAAUAAGCACCGGCUAACUACGUGCCAGCAG